UUAAAUGGAGAAUUCUGUCGAGAUUGAAGCCAUUCAGUGUAAUUUCAAUUCAGUGAAAAGUAAGAAUUGGCAGCCAGCUUCAGGACCAACUUUGGAAGGGAAAAAGAAGAUUUGGCUUUUGAGAUGAAUAAGAGAAAUGUAGAGAAAUAAGUUCUCUACAACUUAUAUAAAGGAAAUUUUGAGAGUUUAAGUGAAAAAACUG
Molecule: long non-coding RNA, 202 nt
Filed under: Setaria italica (foxtail millet)
Lineage: Eukaryota; Viridiplantae; Streptophyta; Magnoliopsida; Poales; Poaceae
Description: long non-coding RNA (SITA_LNC001143)
Source: RNAcentral